AUUGAACGCUGGCAGCAUGCUUUACACAUGCAAGUCGUACGGUAACAUGCCUUCGGGUGCUGACGAGUGGCGGACGGGUGAGUAAUGCAUCGGAACGUUCCCAGUGGUGGGGGAUAACGCAGCGAAAGCUGUGCUAAUACCGCAUGUGAUCUGAGGAUGAAACCGGUGGACCCGGCAGCAAUGUUUGGCCUCGCGCCUCAGGAGCGUCCUAUGUCCGAUUAGGUAGUUGGUGGGGUAACGGCCCACCAAGCCGACGAUCGGUAGCCGGCCUGAGAGGGCGGACGGCCACAAGGGGACUGAGAUACGGCCCUUACUCCUACGGGAGGCAGCAGUGGGGAAUAUUGGACAAUGGGGGCAACCCUGAUCCAGCAAUUCGGUGUGAACGAUGAAGGUUUUCGGAUUGUAAAGUGCUUUCAGCAGGGAAGAAAAAAAUGACGGUACCUGCAGAAGAAGCGACGGCUAAAUACGUG
Molecule: ribosomal RNA, 470 nt
Filed under: uncultured bacterium
Lineage: Bacteria
Description: partial 16S ribosomal RNA
Rfam family: Bacterial small subunit ribosomal RNA
Source: RNAcentral